RNAcentral lists this ribosomal RNA (492 nucleotides) under uncultured bacterium. RNAcentral's name for it is "partial 16S ribosomal RNA". It matches the Rfam family "Bacterial small subunit ribosomal RNA", at positions 29 to 507 of the family's 1533-position model. The record is from RNAcentral.
AGUGAACGCUGGCGGUAGGCCUAACACAUGCAAGUCGAACGGCAGCACAGUAAGAGCUUGCUCUUACGGGUGGCGAGUGGCGGACGGGUGAGGAAUACAUCGGAAUCUACUUUUUCGUGGGGGAUAACGUAGGGAAACUUACGCUAAUACCGCAUACGACCUACGGGUGAAAGCAGGGGAUCUUCGGACCUUGCGCGAUUGAAUGAGCCGAUGUCGGAUUAGUUAGUUGGCGGGGUAAAGGCCCACCAAGGCGACGAUCCGUAGCUGGUCUGAGAGGAUGAUCAGCCACACUGGAACUGAGACACGGUCCAGACUACUACGGGAGGCAGCAGUGGGGAAUAUUAGACAAUGGGCGCAAGCCUGAUCCAGCCAUACCACGUGGGUGAAGAAGGCCUUCGGGUUGUAAAGCCCUUUUGUUGGGAAAGAAAAGCAGCAGGUUAAUACCCCGCUGUUCUGACGGUACCCAAAGAAUAAGCACCGGCUAACUUCGUG